UUCGGGAACCGGUCUCUCCCUGCGCGCGACCGGUCUCUCCCCGCGUAGACGCGCUCAGGGACCGGUCUCGACUGCCAGGGACCGGUUGCCUCGCCGGCAGCACAGCACUGUUCACUGGGGGACCGGUCUCUCCUAUCAGGGACCGGUCCCCGAGAGUAAAAACUCUCAGGACUCUGCCAAAACUCUCGAGGUCGAACUUUUAAGCCGGUAUACCAUCGACGGCCCUCCACCAAGUGUGAAAAAGUUCGGAAUACAAAUUGGACACUCGAACCUCGUAAUUUGCAAAGGUCCAGUGUGCUACAUAUACAUCGGAUACAAGAGUCACUGUAAGGACUGAGAUUUUGGUAGUAUAGCUAAACUCUCUGUUGACGAUGUUUUUGUGUGUAAUUUAAUUACAUAAGCACUCGUCAAGUUUCAGGAGAAAACGAGUUAGAAUGGAGAAGUUACGCGAUAAAUACUAAUCACUUAAAGUGAAUAGUAAUGCCGGUUUUUCGGAGAGGCUGAUGAGUAGAGUUGGCUUCUGGCGUGUAUUAGACUCCAUUCUUAGCGAUCCAAUAGCUCGUUUUGAUUGGUUCAGCUAUUCUGGAACCAAUGGCGCUGACGGAUUUCAGAUCUGACGCACAAAUUUUGAGAAAUCUGAAAAUACAUGUAUUAUAUGUAUUUGUGCGUAGUUGUGAUAAUUGGAGAGGAUGUUUUUCGUGGCAAAUUGGCGACCAAAUCGGAUGAAACUAAAUGGUAGAAUCGAUGCCACAAUCGUGCUGAACGCGAUGGAAUGAUUCGAUUAGAAAUCCGACGGACGGAUCUUCGGGAAACGCAAAAUAUUCGGUAAGGGGUCGAAAUGGGCAAAACGGAAAAAUGGAGGAAA
This 865-nucleotide long non-coding RNA is filed under the name Ananas comosus (pineapple). RNAcentral describes it as "long non-coding RNA (ACOM_LNC043182)". The record is from RNAcentral. Lineage: Eukaryota; Viridiplantae; Streptophyta; Magnoliopsida; Poales; Bromeliaceae.